GACGAACGCUGGCGGCGUGCCUAAUACAUGCAAGUAGAACGCUGAAGGAGGAGCUUGCUCUUCUGGAUGAGUUGCGAACGGGUGAGUAACGCGUAGGUAACCUGCCUGGUAGCGGGGGAUAACUAUUGGAAACGAUAGCUAAUACCGCAUAACAGUAGAUGUUGCAUGACAUUUGCUUAAAAGGUGCAAUUGCACCACUACCAGAUGGACCUGCGUUGUAUUAGCUAGUUGGUGGGGUAACGGCUCACCAAGGCGACGAUACAUAGCCGACCUGAGAGGGUGAUCGGCCACACUGGGACUGAGACACGGCCCAGACUCCUACGGGAGGCAGCAGUAGGGAAUCUUCGGCAAGGGACGGAAGACUGACCGAGCAACGCCGCGUGAGUGAAGAAGGUUUUCGGAUCGUAAAGCUCUGUUGUAAGAGAAGAACGAGUGUGAGAGUGGAAAGUUCACACUGUGACGGUAUCUUACCAGAAAGGGACGGCUAACUACGUG
Molecule: ribosomal RNA, 495 nt
Filed under: uncultured bacterium
Lineage: Bacteria
Description: partial 16S ribosomal RNA
Rfam family: Bacterial small subunit ribosomal RNA
Source: RNAcentral